Long non-coding RNA from Daphnia pulicaria, 241 nucleotides. RefSeq lists it as uncharacterized. The record is from RefSeq and is a predicted model, not a curated record. The transcript has 2 exons. Lineage: Eukaryota; Metazoa; Arthropoda; Branchiopoda; Diplostraca; Daphniidae.
AUAACAUGUGCGCUAUGAAAUGUGUCACCAGGCAAAGGGCGAACUGGGCCAACCAGAUCUGCUAUCGCUUUCGUUCCUGCCGUCUCCUGUAACACUCAGGUAACGCAGUCAAUCAACAGCAUCGGUGGAGUCAAGUCACUUCUGAUUGCAGCUUCUCGUCACGAGCAAAUUCAGUUUUUAAGCGUCAGAAAAGGACUGACCUAUUGUACUAUUUACCAGAUUGUGCGCGUGGCUUAGACAG